Pongo abelii (Sumatran orangutan) is the source of this 148-nucleotide unclassified non-coding RNA. It matches the Rfam family "Metazoan signal recognition particle RNA". Rfam says of the family: The signal recognition particle (SRP) is a universally conserved ribonucleoprotein. It is involved in the co-translational targeting of proteins to membranes. The eukaryotic SRP consists of a 300-nucleotide 7S RNA and six proteins: SRPs 72, 68, 54, 19, 14, and 9. Lineage: Eukaryota; Metazoa; Chordata; Mammalia; Primates; Hominidae. The record is from Ensembl.
GCCAGGCAUGGUGGUGCAUGCCUGUAAUCCCAGCUACUUAGGAGGCUGAGGCAGGAGAAUUGCUUGAACCCAGGAGGCGGAGGUUGCAGUGAGCUGAGAUAGCGCCACUGCACUCCAGCCUGGGCAACAGAGUGAGACUCCGUCUCAA